This is a long non-coding RNA of Leopardus geoffroyi (Geoffroy's cat), 705 nucleotides long. RefSeq lists it as uncharacterized. The transcript has 5 exons. The record is from RefSeq and is a predicted model, not a curated record. NCBI's taxonomy places the organism in Eukaryota, Metazoa, Chordata, Mammalia, Carnivora, Felidae.
CUCAACCCCAGGUCGACCCAUUUCCCUCUCCCAUUGGCCCGCGGCGGCUCCAACCAUUGGUCCGCGCUACCUGUCCAUUUCUUGCGAGAGUUCAACACCUCCUGGCUGGAGGAGGCUGCGGCCUCAUUGGGUGCAUGCGGAGGGAUGGGUGGGCCCAGAAAGUUUUAGGUGGAGGUUGAUUGCUAGACGAGCUGGAGACAGUGGAACAAUCUGUAAAGGCUGGAUGUGGAAGAAUAGAAAACCCCUGAGGAGGACACCGGGGUGGUUCAGUCGGUGUUCCACUUGAUCUCACGGUUGCUUCCUCUUCCAUAAAACGGGGAUGCCAAUCCAUACCUACCUUGGUGUAGAGGACGACACCAGAUUGUUUCUCAAGAUCUCUUCCAGCUCGGGAGAAACAGAGCUUAACAGAUGAAUGGCUGCUACCAGCAAGCUGGGGAAAAGGAAUCCAGAGCCUGUGAUUUCCAAGAGCCUUUGUGAGUGGGAAACUCAGAAGCAGGGAAAGUAAAUGGCAUGCUCCAAUAACAUGGUGCUAACCAACAGCAGAUCUAAGAAAGAACUCAGGUCUUACAGAGUGGUGCAGAUCCUUUUCACUACUUGAUGCCUCCUUCCAUGGUACAAUUCCUUUUCUUUAAGAAUAAGAAUUUUCUUAAUCUCUCUAUAUAAAUAAAUGUUUCAUUGGGCAAUAAAUAAUUGACAAAGAAUCUG